This 181-nucleotide small RNA is filed under the name Chrysemys picta bellii (western painted turtle). RNAcentral's name for it is "TUC338 (ENSCPBG00000001315.1)". Lineage: Eukaryota; Metazoa; Chordata; Testudines; Emydidae. The record is from RNAcentral.
UUGAGAGCUCUAGAGAUUUAAAACCUCUGUUCAUUAAUAGAAAUACCAGUACUGCAGACACUGACAGUUGCAAAUGUCUUCUCACCUGCCCCACCAGUAUUCCUCAACCCUGACCUGGAGAAACCUCCUCUGCGGGUGAAAGAGUAAUUCAGUCUUCAUGUCCAUUUACACCCUGACCUCU